UAGGGAAUCUUCCACAAUGGACGCGAGUCUGAUGGAGCAACGCCGCGUGAGUGAAGAAGGGUUUCGGCUCGUAAAGCUCUGUUGUUAAAGAAGAACGUGGGUAAGAGUAACUGUUUACCCAGUGACGGUAUUUAACCAGAAAGCCACGGCUAACUACUUGCUAG
Molecule: ribosomal RNA, 164 nt
Filed under: uncultured bacterium
Lineage: Bacteria
Description: partial 16S rRNA
Rfam family: Bacterial small subunit ribosomal RNA
Source: RNAcentral